CUGCCACACCUUCUUUUUUUGUUUUCCUUUUGGAACAUAGGAAAUACAUUUUUUUAAUACCUGUCUUGGUUUCUUUUGUGCUGCGAUAGCAGAAUACCUGAGACUGAGUAACUUAUUCAGAGUAGAAUUUUAUUUUCUGAAGUUCUGGAGUCUGGGAAGUUCGAGAUCAAGGUGCUGGCAGGGUUGGUUGUCUGGUGGGGGCUGCAUUUUCUGGGGGGUAGGCAUGCUGUGUUCUCAUAUGGCAGGAGGAAGGGUAAGGGGGGAUGAACUGCCUCCUGCAGGCCUUUUCUAAGGGCACCUAAUCCAUUCAGGAAGGUGGAACCUCAUGGCCUAAUCACCUCUUAAAAACCCCACCUCUUAAUACUAUCACAGUGGCAGCACCUGAAUUUUGGAGGGGACAUAUUCAAACCAUAGCAACCACCUUUGUCUUGAGUUUCAAGUGUCCAACAUACAAUUAGUCUGGCCUUUUAAAAAUCCACUUACCUAAUCCAUUUUGAUUGGUUAUCAACUUGAGUGUUUUUGUAAUAAGUUUUAUUUCUAAGUUUAUUUUUGUAUCCCCUUUUUCCUACAACAUUGACUCUUCCUUUCUUGUACCUUCUGAUAAUCAGAAAUGUAUACCUUUUUCAAAAUACAAAUGAUUCAGUGUUUAAAUACUUCUCUAGUCACAGUUCUUUCCAUGUCUCCCAUCUGUUUACUUAUUUUCACUAAUUCAGCCCAAAAAUGUUUAUUGAACAAAUACCAUGUUCAGGUACUCUCUCUGGGUUACAGACUCAGGAUGCAAAUAAUAAUACAACUUAUAAUAUGUAUAAGGAUGUAUCAGUAUGCAAAUUAUAAAAUAAUAAUACAACUACAGGCUCAUGUAGACAUCAGGCUUUAUAAACAAAACCAGAUGGAAUUUGCUUUAUUUUUACCCUUUUCUUCCCAUCUUUAUAUAAUCAAUAGUAAUUUUUAACAUUCUAUAACUUUUUGUAUCAUUUUAAUGGCAUAUGUAAUUUAUUGCUUAUUUCAGCCUCACAGAUUCUUGGCACUUCCUCUGUCAUUCUACUAAUAUUAAUAAAUAUUUUAUUUUCCCAUUUCAGUGUUAAGAGAAAUGAAGUGUUCUCUGCAACUAGCAAACUCCCUUACUCCUUUAGAAAAAUCACAGUGCUAUAAAUGUCAGACAGGCAUUUCUCUGGUCACUCUUGUUUUCCCUUAGAUGUGAAAGCUUCCUAGGGUCUGGAUUCCACCAGAGGUAAACCUCUAGUGACUCCUGGUUUAGCCAGGAGGAAAGAAGUCUGUGUGCCAGUUUUAGGGAACAGCUUGUAUAUGACAGCUCUCAGAACUUCAAGUCUCAUGAAAUUCCAAAACAGGUUUAGAUGGUUGCCAACUCUUUGGAAUGUUAAAGACAUUGAGGGUGGGGCAGUGAUCUUUUGAUACUACCAUGAUUUCUUAUAAAGAAGAUUGUAGUAGUCAUACAAUCUCAGACUACAGAAGGUUUUUCUCUAGUAAGGAACCACCUCACACUGACACACAUACACAUAUUCACUGUGUCUGUCCUAGUUUCUCUCAUUUUUCUGAGGACCAAUGAUAAGCUGGCUCCGUACUGAACAGACACUGUCCAUAGGCUGGUGUGUGGGGAGCUCUGCUUGGGUCCUGAAGCCUUCUCUUUCCUAGUGUGGCCUUUACAAGGUCUGGAGCUCUUUCUCCCAUUUGUGAUUUUCCUGGGUGUCACAGUUACUCCAAGCUGGCUUCCUUUCCUAAAAGUCAAGAGUGGCUUCAGACCACUCUCCAGAUUGGUCAUGUGGUGUGCAUGCUCAUUGAAUUCACAUCAGUAGUAACCCAGAUAGCACACAAUUUAGGAAAGUCAGUCUCUUGGUCAACUAGCACAGUAAUUAAUUUAAAGGCACACAAAUAACUUUGGGAGUCCAUCUGCUACUGCUGUCAUUUAUUGGAAUGGCUCAUAAUUUGGCUGUCUCUCUUUAUUCCAUCCUGUUGAACAAUUCUGACUGUACACAUUCUCUUUCAGCGGUCUUGCGAGUGGCUGGUUCCCUGCAAAAGAGCACAGAAGUGAUGAAGGCCAUGCAAAGUCUUGUGAAGAUUCCAGAGAUUCAGGCCACCAUGAGGGAGUUGUCCAAAGAAAUGAUGAAGGCUGGGAUCAUAGAGGAGAUGUUAGAGGACACUUUUGAAAGCAUGGACGAUCAGGAAGAAAUGGAGGAAGAAGCAGAAAUGGAAAUUGACAGAAUUCUGUUUGAAAUUACAGCAGGUAUGACUGUGAGAUCCAUCCUUUCUCCUCUCUUUUUAUGGCCAUUCAUUAACUCCCUUCUACAUUUUUAACGUUUUACAGUGUGCAGCUUAUUUCUUGAAAAGUAAGCACAGUAUGUAUAACCAUCUUUUAAAAAACACAAAUAAUUCUUAAAAAUUUUUAGAGUUUUCAUGAUUUUAAAGGAAGAUACUGCUCUCAUAUACUGCUGUUGGGAUUUUAAACUGGUGUAGACUUUCUUGAAAGCAAUUUGGCCAUAGCCAUUCAAAAGCCCUUGCCUUCGCCAAGUGUGAUGGCUCAUGCCUGUUAUCCCAGCACUUUGGGAGGCUCAGGUGGGGGAUUGCUUGAGCCCAGGAGUUUGAGACCAGCCUGGGCAACCAUAGCAAGACCCCAUCUC
RNAcentral lists this small RNA (2636 nucleotides) under Pongo abelii (Sumatran orangutan). RNAcentral's name for it is "processed transcript". Lineage: Eukaryota; Metazoa; Chordata; Mammalia; Primates; Hominidae. The record is from RNAcentral.